UGCAGUCGAGCGAACAGAUAAGGAGCUUGCUCCUUUGACGUUAGCGGCGGACGGGUGAGUAACACGUGGAUAACCUACCUAUAAGACUGGGAUAACUUCGGGAAACCGGAGCUAAUACCGGAUAAGAUUUUGAACCGCAUGGUUCAAUAGUGAAAGACGGCCUUGCUGUCACUUAUAGAUGGAUCCGCGCCGUAUUAGCUAGUUGGUAAGGUAACGGCUUACCAAGGCAACGAUACGUAGCCGACCUGAGAGGGUGAUCGGCCACACUGGAACUGAGACACGGUCCAGACUCCUACGGGAGGCAGCAGUAGGGAAUCUUCCGCAAUGGGCGAAAGCCUGACGGAGCAACGCCGCGUGAGUGAUGAAGGUCUUCGGAUCGUAAAACUCUGUUAUCAGGGAAGAACAAACGUGUAAGUAACUGUGCACGUCUUGACGGUACCUGAUCAGAAAGCCACGGCUAACUACGUGCCAGCAGCCGCGGUAAUACGUAGGUGGCAAGCGUUAUCCGGAAUUAUUGGGCGUAAAGCGCGCGUAGGCGGUUUUUUAAGUCUGAUGUGAAAGCCCACGGCUCAACCGUGGAGGGUCAUUGGAAACUGGAAAACUUGAGUGCAGAAGAGGAAAGUGGAAUUCCAUGUGUAGCGGUGAAAUGCGCAGAGAUAUGGAGGAACACCAGUGGCGAAGGCGACUUUCUGGUCUGUAACUGACGCUGAUGUGCGAAAGCGUGGGGAUCAAACAGGAUUAGAUACCCUGGUAGUCCACGCCGUAAACGAUGAGUGCUAAGUG
Molecule: ribosomal RNA, 783 nt
Filed under: Staphylococcus sp. CP_08
Lineage: Bacteria; Bacillati; Bacillota; Bacilli; Caryophanales; Staphylococcaceae
Description: bacterial SSU rRNA
Rfam family: Bacterial small subunit ribosomal RNA
Source: RNAcentral